RNAcentral lists this ribosomal RNA (497 nucleotides) under uncultured bacterium. RNAcentral describes it as "partial 16S ribosomal RNA". It matches the Rfam family "Bacterial small subunit ribosomal RNA", at positions 28 to 507 of the family's 1533-position model. The record is from RNAcentral.
GACGAACGCUGGCGGCGUGCCUAAUACAUGCAAGUUGAGCGCUGAAGGUUGGUACUUGUACCCACUGGAUGAGCAGCGAACGGGUGAGUAACGCGUGGGGAAUCUGCCUUUGAGCGGGGGACAACAUUUGGAAACGAAUGCUAAUACCGCAUAAAAACUUUAAACACAAGUUUUAAGUUUGAAAGAUGCAAUUGCAUCACUCAAAGAUGAUCCCGCGUUUUAUUAGCUAGUUGGUUAGGUAAAGGCUCACCAAGGCGAUGAUACAUAGCCGACCUGAGAGGGAGAUAGGGCAAAAUGGGAAUGGGACACGGCCCAAACUCCUACGGGAGGCAGCAGGAGGGAAUCUUCGGCAAAGGAGGAAAGGCUGAACGAGCAACGACGCGGGAGUGAAGAAGGUUGUCGGAGCGGAAAACUCUGUUGGUAGAGAAGAAAGUUGGUGAGAGUGGAAAGCUCAUCAAGUGACGGUAACUACCCAGAAAGGAACGGCUAACUACGUG